Gastrolobium bilobum is the source of this 366-nucleotide long non-coding RNA. RefSeq lists it as uncharacterized. The record is from RefSeq and is a predicted model, not a curated record. The transcript is spliced from 3 exons. Lineage: Eukaryota; Viridiplantae; Streptophyta; Magnoliopsida; Fabales; Fabaceae.
ACCCUAACUCUUAAGAUCUUCGAACCUACAUGCAUAUUUCAGAAUACUAUUACUUCGUUCCUGAGUUUUAAGCGUUGAAUUGUCAAAUGCUUUUGUAUUAUAGGACCUUGUAGUUUGUUCCGUGUGAGUGAAUUACUAAAGAGCUCAAGUGAAGUAUGCGUGAGGACGGAAAUCAGGGAUCUACUUCUGUUAUUUGAAGUUCAAGUAAUAACACUGAUUCCUCUUGGGUGCUUCUGGAGCUGGACUUAAGAGUUAGAAUUGUGGGUUUGCUAGUAUGAGUUAAUCUAUAUCUUCAUGCUGUGGGGAGACUUUGAAGGCUCAAUAUGGGAGUUUUUGAUGAGUUACCUUUGCCUUCCGAAAAAGCUG